UAGGAUUCCCAGGUUCCCUCAGUUCCUUCAAUUCUCCAAUAUGUAGGAAGCCUUCCAGGUUCUGGGCAGGGAACUCAGACUCUGCUUCAGGAUCUGGGCAGGUGAGGGUUGCCGUCUUAGGCAGCAUAGCCUCCGCUCUCUAGUCUUAAGCUGAAAUGGCCAGAGCUUAAGAUGAGUGGGAGAAUUGCCACUGGCCUUCCAAGUCCCCAGGAGCACCACAGGCAGAUAAAGAAGCUGAGACUCAGAGUGGUUAUAGCACGCUUCCCAGGGUCACAGAGUCACAAACUCUGAAAGUUUGGCUCCUGUCUUCAAUUGGAAGAAGAAAUUAGAAGAGGAAUUAUAUACAUUACUUGGCUACAGAAGAAAAAAAAAAUAAACCAGAGAGAAUGUUCUAGAAGAGCACAACUGAAUUCCAUCUCAAAAACAAUAUUGCUUUACAAUAUCUCAAAGGAAUUUUGCUGAGUUUUCUAUUAGUAGAAGCUUUCAGUCAGGCGUAUUUUUGAGGGAUUUGCUGCAUUGGAGCAGCGUAAGCUAAUAUGAUCUACGUGUUUCUUUGUGUUUCCUUGAGCUCAUCAGUGUCAGCAUGGCCCCAUAUUGGUGGAGUGGAAUGUGAGCAUUUAUCCCCCUGGAACCUUGAGCUCUUUCCAAAAAGAAAAGCAUAAGCAUAUGAUCAAUAGGAGACCCCAGGAAUCACCGAAAAGACCAUGAGAGUCAACCACGGCUCUGUCAAUGGCGCUUGAAGAUGACUCUUCGGACCUCAGAUUCUUCAUGUGUCGAAUGAAUCAGUGGGACCAUCUGACUACAUAAGCUCGUGUUCUGUGAUUCUGUGAUUCAGUUUUCUGGAGGACCCAGCCAAGCUGGAGAUUCCCUUGGUUUAUCUAGUGGAUUAAACG
RNAcentral lists this long non-coding RNA (893 nucleotides) under Ursus maritimus (polar bear). RNAcentral describes it as "lncRNA (ENSUMAG00000006996.1)". Lineage: Eukaryota; Metazoa; Chordata; Mammalia; Carnivora; Ursidae. The record is from RNAcentral.